This is a long non-coding RNA of Adelges cooleyi (spruce gall adelgid), 921 nucleotides long. RefSeq lists it as uncharacterized. The transcript has 2 exons. Lineage: Eukaryota; Metazoa; Arthropoda; Insecta; Hemiptera; Adelgidae. The record is from RefSeq and is a predicted model, not a curated record.
UCGAAGCCAUUACGUCGAACCGGAACCCGGUCGACGAAUCCAACGUCCUGAAAAGAUACAAGGAGAUCUGGACUGUGCUCAUGUGUAAGUACAGUGACAUUAUACUUAAGUACAGGGUUCUCAUAAAUCAUUUUAUACGGGUUUGCCAAGACGAGAAAAGUACGCCCGACUCGUUUCAAAGGUAUUACAACUGUUUUCGAUUGUUGCUGAUCAAACUCCACAGCAUGACGCCGAGGUUUAAAUGCAUGACAGAUGCAUUGGACUUUUUCUACUCGAUAGGUCCACAAUCAAGACCUCAGCAGGGUGUAGUGCUCGCCACUCGAAAGUUGACCGAGUUUACUUCAACUAUAAUGCCAACAACGUUGUCGAAAUUGUCCAAACAAGUUAUCGACGAGGACGUGAUCGAUCUCGAAAUUGAAUACAUAAGCGAAUGUAUGAUGGUAAUAAUCAGAAAUAGCAUCUAUAAUUUUACCAAACGUUAUUGCAUCGGCAAGUCUCACAGAGAUGUGACUACAAAGAAAUUUUACAACGAUAUGGAGUACAAGAAGAACAUUCAAUUGAUACCGGAGGAAACGACCAUGGUUCAAUAUUUAGCUAAUGAAAUCGAUUCUUACGUUAGUGAAAUCUUGGACAGUUGUUUCUUCAAUUUGGGCUUCAGAUACGCGGUGGAGGAUAAAGUUACAAUUGGGACUAAUUAUUAAAAUAUUAUUAGCACCGAAGGGAAACACCGAUUAAUUUAGAUGGUAUCGUGUAUUUCUGACUUAUCAAAUAAAAUGUGUCAACGUGUUAUUUUAUUUUAUAACCUUAUACGUGUUCAAUUAGACUAAAAUAAUUUAAGUAACUACGAAAAAUAAUGAACUUUAUAAAAAUAUCAUUGUCACGCAAUUUAAGAAAAUUUUAAUAAAUGGAAAACAAGAUACA